GCUUUUGCAGAUUCUGUUGCUUGCAUGUAACUUGGGAGAGAACUGCUACUACCGCUAUCUCUAGGCUCCUGCUGUUCAACUUGUCCAGCUUUUGCUGAACCGAAAGAAUUCCGUCGCUUCCCAUUUUUGUGAUCCUUAGGUAAUUGUUCCGAACUAGUUGUACCUGAACCAUGGAUUGGUUUUGAAGGAGACUUUUUGCCAGCAGAUGAGGAAUGACGCUUGGGAUUUGAUCCAAUUUUUUCACUUUUGAUCUUCUUAGGAUUCACUGACACAAAAGAAUUCCGUCGCUUCCCAUUUUUAUGAUCCUUAGGUAAUUGUUCCGAACUAGCUGUAACUGAACCAUGGAUUGGUUUCGAAGGAGACUUUUUGCCAGCAGAUGAGGAAUGGCGCUUGAUAUUUGAUCCACUCUUUUCACUUUUGAUCUUCUUAGGAUUCACAGACACCUGACUA
Molecule: long non-coding RNA, 450 nt
Filed under: Nicotiana benthamiana
Lineage: Eukaryota; Viridiplantae; Streptophyta; Magnoliopsida; Solanales; Solanaceae
Description: long non-coding RNA (NBEN_LNC038471)
Source: RNAcentral